AGGUAGCCGUGAGCCCCACUUACUUACAUUAGCUGGUGCUUGUAUUUUCUUUUUAUUUUACUUUACCGUGUGGGCGCUAGAAGAAAGGUUUAGUAAUACAAAUACAUCUCCGGCGAUGGCUGUUUCCACCUUUCAGGCGGCGCCACCGAAACCCACAUUGGGUUCCAGUCUUCUUAGCCGUCGUAUGAAACACGUUCCCUUCUCCUUGUCAUUUUUCUCCGCUCCUAAGACCAUCUCUUCUUACAGACCCAUCCUACGCAUUCGCGCCAUCGACGCGGCCCAGCCCUUCGACUACGAGUCCAGAAUGGCCCAACAGUUCCACGACUCCCAGAAGCUGAAGAUCGCCAUCGUGGGCUUCGGCAACUUCGGGCAGUUCCUGGCCCAAACCCUCGUCCGCCAGGGCCACACCGUCCUGGCCCACUCCCGCUCCGACCACUCCCUCGCGGCCCAACAACUCGGCGUCACCUUCUUCCCAAACCCCCACGAUCUCUGCGAGGAACACCCCGAAGUGAUUCUCUUAUGCUCCUCCAUCAUCUCCACCCAGCGCGUGCUCCUCACUCUCCCCCUCCAGCGCUUAAAACGCAGCACACUCUUCGUCGACGUGCUUUCCGUCAAAGAGUUCCCCAAAAACCUCCUUCUCCACGCGCUCCCCUCCGAUUUCGAUGUUCUCUGCACCCACCCCAUGUUCGGCCCACAGAGCGCCCCCCGCGCUUGGACCGGCCUCCCCUUCGUCUACGAGAAGGUCCGAAUCGGCUCCGACGAGCACCGAAUCGCCCGCUGCGAGAAAUUCCUCGGCAUUUUCGCGAGGGAGGGGUGCAGGAUGGUGGAGAUGAGCUGCGCCGACCACGAUAAGUUCGCUGCCGGGUCGCAGUUCAUAACUCACACCGUUGGUAGGGUUUUGGAGAUGCUUACGGUGGAGUCAACUCCGAUUAACACGAAAGGUUACGAGUCGUUGUUGAAUUUGGUGGAGAACACUUCCGGGGACAGUUUUGAUCUCUUCUAUGGGUUGUUUAUGUAUAAUAAGAACUCGCUGGAGAUGCUGGAGAGGUUGGAUUUCGCCUUCGAGGACUUGAGGAAACAGCUCAUGGGGCGUUUGCAUGAUGUUGUUAGAGAGCAGUUGUUUGAUAAUGCUGGAAUGGGAAAGGUGCAGAGUUUGCCUGAUGAAUAUGUCCAUCAACUGCUGCUCAAGAAUGGUCAAAAUGGUUCUGCUGCACCUGUGCUAUCACUGCCCUCCAAUGAUCUGAGAUCCAGUGAUGUUGUUAAACUCUACAACUACAAGUCAAAUGAUGCAAACCAGUCUGAUGACAAAACCAAGCUCAAGAUUGCAAUUGUUGGUUUUGGCAACUUCGGACAGUUUCUUGCAAAAACUUUUGUGCGUCAUGGUCAUCAAGUGUUGGCAUACUCUAGAUCAGAUUACUCUCACGUGGCUCAAGAAUUGGGGGUUUCAUAUUUCAAUAACAUUGACGAUCUUUGUGAACAACAUCCAGAAGUGAUUUUACUUUGCACUUCAAUCCUUUCCACAGAAAAAGUUCUUAAAUCAUUGCCCGUGCAAAGAUUGAAGAGAAGUACUUUGUUUGUGGAUGUACUUUCUGUCAAGGAAUUUCCUAGAAACUUGUUUCUUCAUCAUUUGCCACAUAAUUUUGAUAUUCUCUGCACUCAUCCUAUGUUUGGGCCAGAGAGUGGAAAAAAUGGGUGGAAUGGUCUUGCUUUUGUUUAUGAUAAAGUUAGAAUAGGAAUAGAUGAAUCAAGAACAUCACGGUGUGAUCAGUUUCUUGACAUUUUUGCUAGUGAAGGGUGCCGAAUGGUUGAAAUGUCAUGUGCUGAACAUGAUUGGCAUGCAGCUGGAUCACAAUUUAUCACGCAUACUACCGGAAGAUUUUUAGAAAAACUGGAGUUGGAGGGAACGCCAAUUGACACAAAGGGCUAUGAGACUUUGUUGAGUUUGGUGGAAAAUACUGCUGGAGAUAGUUUUGAUCUAUACUAUGGUUUGUUCUUGUAUAAUAUAAAUGCCAUGGAGCAACUAGAAAGAUUUGAUCUGGCUUUUGAGUCUGUGAAGAAGGAGCUUUUUGAUCGUCUGCAUGGCUUCUACCGACAGCAAGUAUUUAAACAUGAAGAAAAACUCCAUGAUUUGCCAGAGAGGCCUAUGUUGUCUAAGAUAUCUGAAGAUAAAUAAAUCUUGGCCAUGAUCCAUAACAGUAAAGCUAACUACUUUAACUGUAGAGUACUUGCCAUCAAGCUGAAGUAGCCUCCUGCGUCCCCACUGAGUCCAAUGGUGGGAGUCUUAGACAGUUAAACCAACAUGGACUUUUCACAGAUUGACAUAUCUAGAUUACAUUUAUUGAGUGACAAACAACGAAGUAAUUGAGGACUGAGAACGCACAAUGACUACACAAUUAAAGUUUCUAAUGUUGAUGCAUUGCAAAGUUCCUGAUACCUCUCUCAACCAAAGGUAAAGUAACGGAUUUGCCUUGACACGAUUUCAAUUAUUUGUAGAUUAAGGCGGUCAAGGAGAAGAUGAAUGGAAAGGUCAAUACUUUAAGCAUUUCUCGAAGCUGAUUGAGACACCAAGUAAAUUUGAUUCAGGAAAUUUUCUUUUAAUUAAAAAUGGUCCCUAAAAAAUUCGAGCCAUGAUCUAAUUUUUUUUUUCAAUUUCUUAUAAUUUAUAUUCGCCAACCAUAGAUACACAAAGAAGAUGAGUACAAUUAGAUUGGUAUAGUUUUGUUAUUUGUAUCUGUAUUUUUUUUUAUUGUAUGAAGGAUCUUGUGGUAACAUUACCUCAAGGCAUAUUUGAAGAAUGAU
Molecule: RNA transcript, 2799 nt
Organism: Glycine soja
Lineage: Eukaryota; Viridiplantae; Streptophyta; Magnoliopsida; Fabales; Fabaceae
Gene name: arogenate dehydrogenase 1, chloroplastic-like
Exons: 4
Source: RefSeq, a predicted model, not a curated record